Molecule: long non-coding RNA, 88 nt
Organism: Gavialis gangeticus (Gharial)
Lineage: Eukaryota; Metazoa; Chordata; Crocodylia; Gavialidae
Exons: 3
Source: RefSeq, a predicted model, not a curated record
UUCUAUCCUGGGGAAAAUCUUAGAGAAGUUUAUUAAAGAGGCCAUCCUUAAUGGACUGGCCAACGCCAACAUCUUAAGGGAUAGCCAG